CCUACGGGAGGCAGCAGUGGGGAAUAUUGCACAAUGGGGGAAACCCUGAUGCAGCGACGCCGCGUGAGUGAAGAAGUAUUUCGGUACGUAAAGCUCUAUCAGCAGGGAAGAAAAUGACGGUACCUGACUAAGAAGCCCCGGCUAACUACGUGCCAGCAGCCGCGGUAAUACGUAGGGGGCAAGCGUUAUCCGGAUUUACUGGGUGUAAAGGGAGCGUAGACGGCAGCGCAAGUCUGGAGUGAAAUCCCAUGGCUUAACCAUGGAACUGCUUUGGAAACUGUGCAGCUAGAGUGCAGGAGAGGUAAGCGGAAUGCCUAGUGUAGCGGUGAAAUGCGUAGAUAUUAGGAGGAACACCAGGGGCGAAGGCGGCUUACUGGACUGUAACUGACGUUGAGGCUCGAAAGCGUGGGGAGCAAACAGGAUUAGAUACCCUUGUAGUC
This 440-nucleotide ribosomal RNA is filed under the name uncultured bacterium. Its description in RNAcentral is "partial 16S ribosomal RNA". It matches the Rfam family "Bacterial small subunit ribosomal RNA", at positions 338 to 795 of the family's 1533-position model. The record is from RNAcentral.